ACGGGUGAGUAACACGUGGGUAAUUUUCCUUAGAGUGGGGGAUAACUAGUCGAAAGAUUAGCUAAUACCGCAUAAGACCACAAGAUCUGCGGAUCAAGGGGUAAAAGUUUUUCGCUCUAAGAUAAGCCCGCGCAAGAUUAGCUAGUUGGUGAGGUAACGGCUCACCAAGGCGACGAUCUUUAGCUGGUCUGAGAGGAUGAUCAGCCACACUGGAACUGAGACACGGUCCAGACUCCUACGGGAGGCAGCAGUAGGGAAUAUUGCACAAUGGAGGAAACUCUGAUGCAGCGACGCCGCGUGAGUGAUGAAGGACUUCGGUUCGUAAAGCUCUGUCGUAUGGGAAUAACAAAAUGAAGGUACCAUGCAAGAAAGGAUCGGCUAACUUCGUGCUAGCAGCCGCGGUAAUAC
Molecule: ribosomal RNA, 408 nt
Filed under: uncultured bacterium
Lineage: Bacteria
Description: bacterial SSU rRNA
Rfam family: Bacterial small subunit ribosomal RNA
Source: RNAcentral